AAGACAGGUGCCUGGGCCGCGCCGCCCCGCCCCGCCCUACCUGGGCGGGGUUGGGACCUUUCUGGCACCUGCAUCGAAGCCGGCGGCAGGGUGGACUUCGUUGUCCCGGUCCCAGACUACCCUCCUCCACCGCCGCCUCCCACUGCAAAAGGGCCUAGAUAAGGAACCUAAUUCGAGCUAUCCUUCUCUGUGAAGUCCGACGGCUGAGAACGUCAGGGCUCGUUCCCAGGUCUCUUUCCAGAGGCUAAGCUUUAUGCGAGCAUGGGUUACCAGCGAUGCAUCCUGAUCAAGCAAAGAAAGAGAGGCUGGAGAAGGAAGAGUGACAGAAGUAAGAGGAGAGUGUCUGUCCACUUCCACUCCAGCCCCCUACAGCUCAUCCUCCAGCAGGCAGCCAAGGGCACUUAUAGGAUCUCACAUCAGGUCGUUGCCUCACAUUCUGCACUGGCUUCCCAAGUAAUUAAAGUAAAAUCCAAAUUCCAGCUCGCAGCUUAGAAAACUCAGCAGGACUGGCCUCUGUCCUAUCCCACCACCUCAGUCCCUCAGGCUCAUCUCCUGUCACUCCUGCCCAUUUCUGGACCCCAGCCAUUCCUCAAACAGGGUGAGGAUGCAGUAUCCAAGGCACCAUCUUGAACUCAUUAUCGCCAAAUAUGUCAGCACCUUGAUGUUGGACUUCCCAACCUCCAGACCGUAAGGCAGUACAUUUCUUUGUAAAUUACGCAGUCUCAGCUAUUCUGUUACAGCAGCACAAAUGGACUAAGACAACCCCUGAGAUAGGAAGGGGUAAGGUAAAUGCAAUGAGAGUUGGGGUUUUCGAUCUUAGUCCAGUAAAGGAGCUGGAACUGUUCUGUAUAAUCAAAAGGCAAGGUAAUUGCUACAUAGAUUAUUUUCUUAUUAUUGCUGAUUCUUAUCCUAAAAUAAAGGACGUUGCCACUACACAUCCUCUAGAAUGACCAAAAAUAAAAAUACUGACAGCAUCAAAUGGGAUGACAUGGUGCCAGCUGGAAUUCUCAUACCUUGCUGAUGGGAGUAUAAUGUGGUACAGUCACUUUGGAAAAAAGUUUGACAAUUUCUUAUAAAAUUAUACAUAAACCUGUACUAUGACCUAGAGAUUCUACUCCUGUUUGUUCAAAAGAAAGGCAAACAUCUGUCCACUAAAAGAUAUGUACAAGAAUGCUCACAGUGGCAUUAUUUAUGACAGUCCAAACCAGGAGAUAAUCCAAAUGUCUGUAACCAAGAGAAUGGAUAAAGAAAUUUGGAUACGUCAAUUUAAUGGAUUACUACUUAGCAAUAAAAAUAAUUAGCCACACUGGGCGUGGUGGCUUAUGCCUGUAAUCCCAGCACUUUGGGAGGCUGAGGCAGGUGGAUCACCUGAGGUCGGGAGUUCAAGACCAGCCUGACCAACAUGGAGAAACCCGUCUCUACUAAAAUACAAAAUUAGCCGGGGUGGUGGUGCAUGCCUGUAAUCCCAGCUACUCGGGAGGCUGAGGCAGGAGAAUCGCUUGAACCCGGGAGGUGGAGGUUGCAUUGAGCCGAGAUUGCGCCAUUGCACUCCAGCCUGGGCAAAAAGAGCAAAACUCUGUCUCAAAAAAAUAAAUAAAUAAUAAUAAUAAUUAGCCACAUAUCCACACAACAAUAUUGCAUUAUCACAGGUAUAGUGAUAAAUUAAAUACUGUAUGAUUCCAUUUAUAUGAAGUUCAAGAACAGGCAAGUAAUCCAUGAUGAAAGAAGUACUUUCUGCCACUCUGGGGGUGGCAGCAUUGACUAAAGAGGUACAAGGGAGUCUUCUGGGGCCUGGAAAUAUUCUGUAUCUUGAUCUGGGUGGUGGUUACACAGCUAUAUGCGUGUUAAGAAAUCAUCAAGUUGUAUACUUAAUAUUAGUGUACUGUAAUGGCAUUACACUGUCUUUCAAUUAAAAUGUGAAAG
RNAcentral lists this non-coding RNA (1923 nucleotides) under Pongo abelii (Sumatran orangutan). Lineage: Eukaryota; Metazoa; Chordata; Mammalia; Primates; Hominidae. The record is from RNAcentral.